Molecule: long non-coding RNA, 2808 nt
Organism: Oreochromis niloticus (Nile tilapia)
Lineage: Eukaryota; Metazoa; Chordata; Actinopteri; Cichliformes; Cichlidae
Product: kinesin-like protein KIF17
Exons: 15
Source: RefSeq, a predicted model, not a curated record
UCCGUCCUCACUAAAAUGGCCGCGGGUCUGGGCCUGUUACAUUCCUCAACGGUUACUUGUGGUUGCUAAGCAACCUCAAACGCCUCGGGGAGAGGAACAUAAUGGGACAGGACCUGAAGCAAUACCUGACGAGACCCGUCCACACUGUACCGGGAGAUAUUUCUGCUGAUCGCUUCUUACUGAACCUCACUGGAGAUGUGGACCGUUAGUCAACUGUUGCUGUCAUCUUGUUAUUAAGCUGCUGGGUAGUGAUUGUUGAGACAUGGGGUCAGAGUCGGUGAAGGUGGUGGUCAGGUGCAGGCCCCUGAAUGACAGGGAGAAGGCGCUCAGCUGUAAGAUGGUGCUGUCCAUGGACCUGCAGCGCUGCCAGUGCUUCAUAGAAAAGCCAGGUGCAGUGGAUGAGCCACCUAAACAGUUCACCUUUGAUGGGACCUACUAUAUUGAUCAAGCAACUGAGCAGAUGUACAACGAGAUUGCCUAUCCUUUGGUUGAGGGUGUGACUGAGGGAUACAACGGGACAAUUUUUGCCUAUGGACAAACUGGAAGUGGAAAAUCUUUCACCAUGCAAGGGGUGUCUGAACCUGCAACCCAGAAGGGUGUCAUCCCACGGGCCUUUGAACACAUCUUUGAGAGCAUUCAGUGUGCAGAAAAUACGAAAUUCCUGGUGAGGGCCUCCUACUUGGAGAUUUACAAUGAAGAAAUCCGAGAUCUUUUGGGAAGCGACACCAAGCAGAGAUUGGAGCUGAAAGAGCACCCAGAGCGUGGGGUAUAUGUACGGGACCUUUCCAUGCACACUGUGCACAGUGUGGGAGAGUGUGAAAGAAUCAUAGAGAAAGGCUGGAGGAACCGGGCGGUGGGCUACACGCUGAUGAACAAAGACUCCUCACGCUCCCACUCAAUCUUCACCAUCCACCUGGAGAUCUGCAGCACUGAUUCAUCUGGCCAGGACCAUCUACGGGCAGGAAAACUCAACCUUGUGGACCUGGCAGGAAGUGAGCGUCAGUCUAAAACUGGUGCUACCGGGGAGCGACUCCGCGAAGCCACAAAGAUCAAUCUUUCCCUCUCGGCCCUGGGAAAUGUCAUCUCCGCCCUGGUAGAUGGACGCUCCAGAUACAUCCCCUACAGAGACUCCAAGCUGACCAGGCUGCUGCAGGACUCUCUGGGAGGAAACACCCGCACCCUGAUGAUUGCCUGUCUUUCGCCUGCAGACAACAAUUAUGAGGAAAGCCUAAGUACCCUGCGAUAUGCAAACCGGGCCAAGAGCAUCCAGAACAGGCCUCGCAUCAACGAGGACCCAAAGGAUGCUCUGCUCCGAGAGUAUCAGGAGGAAAUCAAGAAGCUGCGGGCGCUCCUCACAGGCCAGCUGAGCACUGCUGACCUUUCAACUCUGCUGGCUGGUCAGUUUUCUGAGUCAUCCCCUGCUGUUCCCUCAAGGCCACAAUCCACCCCCACCGAAGAAAAGAAGGAAAAGAUUAAAGAGGAGUACGAGGAGAGGCUGUCCAAGUUGCAGGCUGAAUACAAUGCAGAGCAGGAAUCCAAGGCGAAGCUGCAGGAGGACAUCGCUGCUCUGCGUUCCUCCUAUGAAUCAAAGCUGUCCAGUCUGGAGAAGGCCCAAGCCAGCAGGGGGAGCUCUGUCCCCAAGAAUGUGGGCGCCAGCUGUACAUUCCAGGUUGCUGAGGAAGAACUCUGCAUGAGCACUGAUCCCAUGCGCCACGGUACAGUUGAGGAAACCUCCCAGACUAAGCUUUCCGAAAAAGAUCCAGAUAGAGCUGGGCUCUUGGAUUCUUCUGAUGCAACUGCACCGGGGCCUCUAGACCAGAAACACGUCCUGGAAAGACUGCAGCAGCUGGAACAGGAGGUGGUAGGAGGGGAGCAGGCCAGGAACAAAGAGCUGCAACAAAGACAGCGGCAGAGGAAAAAACUUGCUGACCAGAGAAAAGCUCAGCUUGUCCAUGCUCUGUCAGAGAACAGCGAGGAGAGCGAAAAUGUGCUGCUGAAUGUCUACAACUCUAUCCAGGAAGAAGUCCAUGCCAAAAACCAAAUGCUAGUCAAAGUUCAGGGCAAGCUGAAAGCAGCCAAACUGGAGAUCCGUGACCUGCAGGCAGAGUUUGAGGUGGAGAGGAAUGACUACCUGGCGACUAUACGCAGGCUGGAGAAGGAAGGGAAGCUCCUGCACAGCCUGCUGGAGCGUAUGGUGCCUCUGGUGCGCCGUGACUGCAACUACAGCAACCUGGACCGCUUGAAGAAGGAAGCAGUCUGGGACGAGGACAGCGCCACCUGGAGACUGCCAGAUGUGAUGGUGCAGAAAACAACACUGCCUUCAGUGACUCCAAAAGCUUCAGCUCGCAGAGGCUCAGGUUCUGAUGCUGGAGAGGCAUUUAUGCAGGUGGAGGAGGACAGGUACAAGGAAAUGCUGGACAGAAGUGACAGUGAAAAUAUCGCCAGCAGCUACUUCAAGUCAAAGAGAGCGAGCCAGCUCCUCGGAAGUGACACCGCAAAAGCCCACGUUAACGUGGCAGGCCACCUCUCUGUGAGCGGCUCUAACAUGAAUCUGCCUGUGAGCUCAGACGCCAUCCUGCCUCGCCCCUUCCGUCUGGAGUCGCUGGAUGUCCCAGUGUCCAACAGUAAAGUGAAGCGCAAAAAAAGCAAAUCUCACAUCCAUAAUGAGGCGAUUUAAACGGACUGUGACCCACAUACAGGGAGUGCAGAAUUAUUAGGCAAGUUGUAUUUUUGAGGAAUAAUUUUAUUAUUGAACAACAACCAUGUUCUCAAUGAACCCAAAAAACUCAUUAAUAUCAAAGCUGAAUG